GGAGAGUGAUGGCUGCCAUACCGAUUACAGAUAUGCAGUUAUGGGUUGCUUUCGCUGAAGAAGCAUCUGAACAAUUCGAUGGUACAUGUUUUGUAUACUAACUCUGGUAAUGGGUCAAAAUCCUCUGUCUCUUCAGGAUUCUGAUUCCCACUGUCGCAGAUUUGCCACUGAAUUGGAUGAGACCCUCCAAUUCAAAAGGAAAAGUUGGUUAGGCUUGUUUUGUACCAUUUUUGUCUCUAUUUUGGUGACUGUUUUUAAAGGGAGACAUGGAAGGCCUUUGUCUGUCACACCAGUACUUAACAGAGGUACCAACAAAGGGAAGGUGCUGUGGAUGGAGGAUGCAUUGAAGGGCCUGGAGACACUCGUGGAGUGGCUUAGACCCCUUGCUCAGACUAAGGCUUGGGAAUACUGUGUUGUUUGGAAAUUAGGAGACGAUCCCUCAAGGUUCAUCGAAUGGAUAGGUUGCUGUUGUAGUGGUGGAGUUGAUAGGGAUAAGAAUAUGAAAGAAGAACCAGGUGAGGAGCACCACUCGAGCCCCCUAUGCAGGGAUGUCCAUUUUGAGCACCCCAUGAGGACAAAGGCCUGUCAGGCUCUUGCUCAGCUUCCUUCUUCUAUGCCACUGUAUUCUGGGUUUCAUGGGGAGGUUGUGAUAUCAAACCAACCGAGGUGGAUUUUUUCCGAUGCUAAUUCCUCAAAUUCAGCUACUUCAAAUGACUCAUUUGGAACCCAAGUUCUGAUCCCAGUUGUUGGUGGGCUUGUUGAGCUCUUUGCUACAGAACAUAUACCGAAAGAUCAGAAGUUCAUAGAGUUAAUUACAGCUCAGUGUAACAUCUCUUUUGAACAAGAAGCCAUAGGUGCCUGGAGCUAUGCCAAUCCGAACCUCAGUGACAAUCAUCUUGAUCCCGAGCGUGAAGAUUACUUAACAAAUUGGUCACUUCCCCUGCACUUGCCAAGGUUGAAUCCCAGUAUACAGGCUCUUUUACCAGUGAUCCAUUCCAGCUCCUAUCCAUGUGUAGAUAGAUCAUCCAGUGGUUCCAAUCCUUCACAUCGAUACCCAUCACUAGAUUUAGAUUCUUGCCAGUUAUCUCUGCAUGGUACUAUAAAUAAGUCAAUUGGUAAAUCUUCUGACUCUAAAAAGGUCAAGUACAGUCAGUGUUCAUUGAAGCGACGGACAGGAACGAUUGCAAAUGGGAGAAAUAUGGUAGAAAACGAUGAAACAAAAGUUAUACAGAAGAAAGAAAGAGAACAAUACCAUUCAAAAAAUUUGGUCACUGAGAGAAAUAGAAGAAACAGGAUAAAAGACGGGCUCUUCACUCUACGCUCGUUAGUCCCAAAGAUAUCCAAGAUGGAUAGAACUGCUAUUCUUGGAGACGCAAUUGGGUAUAUACAAGAGUUGGAGGAGGAAGUGAAGCAACUUCGGGAUGAGCUCAUGGAAAAUGAAGAGGACCGCAGGAAGAAUGAAUCGGAGUUGAAGAUCUCAACGUCAGACCAAAUACAAGGCAACGCUACCACACCUUUGCCACCUACUCAGCGGAACCAGGGCUUGUCCAGCUCUGGAGAAAAGAAGAAAACAGAGGUGCAAGUUGAAGUGAACCAGAUAAGCCAAAGAGACUUCUUGAUUAAAUUCUUCUGCGAGCAUAAGCGAGGUGGGUUUACAAGGUUGAUGGAAUCUUUACAUUUGCUAGGGCUUCAAGUAGCUGAUGCCAAUAUCACCACAUUCUAUGGCAACGUCCUGAAUGUUCUCAAGGUUGAGGCAAAGAAGGACAUUCAACUGAAGAAGCUGAAGAGCUCUUUGAUGGAGCUGACAAGCUAGAGACUAUAAAAUCAGACAGCGAUUAGCAAGUCUUCACAAAAUGCUAUUUUACGGCGAAAACAUAUCGAUGGAGAAACUUUGACGGAAUAAGUCAAUUCACACAAACCUUAAGCUUUUACAGCAACAUUAUGUUGCCGCUAAACACGAUUUCUGAUAUUGAACUAUUUGCAGUGAUACAUACACUAUUUUUUCUCCCUUUUCCUGUAUUUUUUCUCCCCUAGCUCGAUACAUACACUCUCUGUCUUCUCUGUGAGUUUUUUGUUGCUCCUUUCCAUGCUGUCCGACCACCUGAUGAUAGGGUUGUGCAUAUGACCCGUAAACCUUAUGGGCCCGAUUAAAAUGGCCCAAUCCAAAUUUAUUGGGUUAUUAUCUGGUCAAGUCUCCAACCUAACUAGUAAAUAGGUUUGUAUUUUGGUUUCCACCCGUCCAUGUAUAAACAAUACUAAUCUUCAGUUCUUCAACCCUAGCCUCCCAAAAUCUAAAACCAGUCUCCGAUGGCGUCAUGAGAAAAGAUACUCUCCUACUUGUACGUGAUGAUCUAGAUCGCCCUCAACUUCCCAGUCAUCGUCUACAACAAGUAAAUCUUAGAUCGCAAGCUCUACAAUUGGUCCUCCUUGAUCUCACUCACCAUUAUUCACAUGACCUUCUACUGCUCCAUCGCCUACCUCCUUGUCAGUGUCUUCAAGGUCGUGGAGGAGCCCGCCUCCAUCACCCGAGAUCUCUACAUUAGAUGCUCAAGGCCCUCAUGCCCGUCUCCGUCUACUCCAUUAGCCUUGCCUUCAAAAAGGACACUUUCAAGUCUAACCACAACAGUAGAAAGGUUGUCAUUUGUGAGAAUUGCUCGAUGUCGAUUGAGACAACAGGGUGGGAUGGAGAGAACAAGAAGGUGAUGUUGGAGAGGCAUGAGAAGUCAAGGAACUGCAACCCCAAGAAUAAUAAACUGAAGUGCCCCAUAAGGCGUUGCAUAGAGAUAUUGACGUUUUCAAAUACACCUGCGUGGGUUUUUUCUCCGUAUUUGAAUAGAAUUUGUUGUGGUUUUGUUGUUUGGCUCAUGAGAAA
RNA transcript from Carya illinoinensis, 2872 nucleotides. It is a transcript of the gene named transcription factor bHLH90, with no coding region annotated. Lineage: Eukaryota; Viridiplantae; Streptophyta; Magnoliopsida; Fagales; Juglandaceae. The transcript is spliced from 10 exons. The record is from RefSeq and is a predicted model, not a curated record.